RNAcentral lists this ribosomal RNA (982 nucleotides) under Vibrio sp. PC-12. RNAcentral's name for it is "bacterial SSU rRNA". It matches the Rfam family "Bacterial small subunit ribosomal RNA", at positions 51 to 1015 of the family's 1533-position model. The record is from RNAcentral. Lineage: Bacteria; Pseudomonadati; Pseudomonadota; Gammaproteobacteria; Vibrionales; Vibrionaceae.
AAACAUGCAGUCGAGCGGAACGAGUUAUCUGAACCUUCGGGGGACGAUAACGGCGUCGAGCGGCGGACGGGUGAGUAAUGCCUAGGAAAUUGCCCUGAUGUGGGGGAUAACCAUUGGAAACGAUGGCUAAUACCGCAUAAUGCCUACGGGCCAAAGAGGGGGACCUUCGGGCCUCUCGCGUCAGGAUAUGCCUAGGUGGGAUUAGCUAGUUGGUGAGGUAAUGGCUCACCAAGGCGACGAUCCCUAGCUGGUCUGAGAGGAUGAUCAGCCACACUGGAACUGAGACACGGUCCAGACUCCUACGGGAGGCAGCAGUGGGGAAUAUUGCACAAUGGGCGCAAGCCUGAUGCAGCCAUGCCGCGUGUGUGAAGAAGGCCUUCGGGUUGUAAAGCACUUUCAGUCGUGAGGAAGGUGGUAUUGUUAAUAGCACUAUCAUUUGACGUUAGCGACAGAAGAAGCACCGGCUAACUCCGUGCCAGCAGCCGCGGUAAUACGGAGGGUGCGAGCGUUAAUCGGAAUUACUGGGCGUAAAGCGCAUGCAGGUGGUUUGUUAAGUCAGAUGUGAAAGCCCGGGGCUCAACCUCGGAAUAGCAUUUGAAACUGGCAGACUAGAGUACUGUAGAGGGGGGUAGAAUUUCAGGUGUAGCGGUGAAAUGCGUAGAGAUCUGAAGGAAUACCGGUGGCGAAGGCGGCCCCCUGGACAGAUACUGACACUCAGAUGCGAAAGCGUGGGGAGCAAACAGGAUUAGAUACCCUGGUAGUCCACGCCGUACACGAUGUCUACUUGGAGGUUGUGGCCUUGAGCCGUGGCUUUCGGAGCUAACGCGUUAAGUAGACCGCCUGGGGAGUACGGUCGCAAGAUUAAAACUCAUAUGAAUUGACGGGGGCCCGCACAAGCGGUGGAGCAUGUGGUUUAAUUCGAUGCAACGCGAGAACCUUACCUACUCUUGACAUCCAGAGAACUUUCCAGAGAUGGAUUGUG